CGCGGCCUAUCAGCUUGUUGGUGAGGUAACGGCUCACCAAGGCAUCGACGGGUAGCUGGUCUGAGAGGACGACCAGCCACACUGGGACUGAGACACGGCCCAGACUCCUACGGGAGGCAGCAGUAGGGAAUCUUGCACAAUGGGCGAAAGCCUGAUGCAGCAACGCCGCGUGGGGGAAGACGGCUCUCGGGUUGUAAACCCCUUUCAGCAGGGACGAAAUUGACGGUACCUGCAGAAGAAGAACCGGCCAACUACGUGCCAGCAGCCGCGGUAACACGUAGGGUUCAAGCGUUGUCCGGAUUCAUUGGGCGUAAAGGGCUCGUAGGCGGUUUGGUAAGUCGGGUGUGAAAACUCAGGGCUCAACCCUGAGACGCCACUCGAUACUGCCAUGACUUGAGUCCGGUAGAGGAGCACGGAAUUCCUGGUGUAGCGGUGAAAUGCGCAGAUAUCAGGAGGAACACCAGUAGCGAAGGCGGUGCUCUGGGCCGGUACUGACGCUGAGGAGCGAAAGCGUGGGGAGCGAACAGGAUUAGAUACCCUGGUAGUCCACGCCGUAAACGUUGGGCACUAGGUGUGGGACCCUUCCAACGGGUUCCGUGCCGUAGCUAACGCAUUAAGUGCCCCGCCUGGGGAGUACGG
RNAcentral lists this ribosomal RNA (639 nucleotides) under uncultured Actinomycetes bacterium. RNAcentral describes it as "bacterial SSU rRNA". It matches the Rfam family "Bacterial small subunit ribosomal RNA", at positions 232 to 885 of the family's 1533-position model. Lineage: Bacteria; Bacillati; Actinomycetota; Actinomycetes. The record is from RNAcentral.